GUUAUUUCAAAUCUUUGCAUAACAGGAAUGCACAAAAACCUAGAUAAGACCAAAGAGGUUCUCUCAAUUUUUGCUUCGACUGUGGGUGCUGAGAUUAAUUGGACUAAAUCCCAUGCCAUAUGGGACUCAAAAACGCCCCAAUCUUUUACUUGGGGGGGGGGGGGAUUGUACAAUUGUGUUGGCUAGCCCCAGGUGAGAUGACAAGAUACUUAGGUUUUUCUUUGGGCUUCAAAGACAUCUCCAGAAGCUUGCUUUGAAGCCACUUUGAAAAAUCUGAAAAAGAAGCUAGCUUACUGGGCCGCAACCAAACUUUCUUUAGCCAGUCAAAUACUGAUCGCCAAUCAAGUAUUGUUGGCUUCGAUGUGGUGCAUCGCAUCAUGUUGGAGUCCCUCCCAUCCCACAGUC
Molecule: long non-coding RNA, 405 nt
Filed under: Physcomitrium patens
Lineage: Eukaryota; Viridiplantae; Streptophyta; Bryopsida; Funariales; Funariaceae
Description: long non-coding RNA (PPAT_LNC002465)
Source: RNAcentral